Molecule: long non-coding RNA, 882 nt
Organism: Canis lupus familiaris (dog)
Lineage: Eukaryota; Metazoa; Chordata; Mammalia; Carnivora; Canidae
Exons: 3
Source: RefSeq, a predicted model, not a curated record
UCAUUGCACCUGGAAAGAUUUUUGAAUUCUAAUUUUAUUAACCAUUUGGGUGAGGCAUUUUCUCUUUUUACCGAAAGAAGAAGGAGAGGAAAGAAAAAGUCCAGGUUGAGUUUAGAAACCUUCUCCUUUUGCCUUAGUCUGGUCCAGUGCUUUAGCUUCCCCUGAAUUCCUUGGUUUUGAGUUUUGACAUUCCGAAUAAGAGAUCAGAAGUCACAUCUGAUAUUUGACGAAGAGAAGAGGGAGCUUAUUAAAGAUUUCAGGUGUCAGACCCGUGGUAGUGAAUUUGCAAGGAGGAAUUUCUCUGACUGCUACUUGGAUUGGAGCAUAAUCUAUUCUCUCAUUCAGAGGUAUUUAGAUGAGUGCAUUAUUUCUGUGGUGCUCACUGAUGCCAAAACUACCUCCCAUGAAGUAGAAAUGACCAGAGAGCCUCUGUCACCGUAAGACCCAUGUUAGACCAAGCAAGACACUCCGCCAAUUUAAGGCAUAAUUGCCUCUUCCUCUGCAUCCACACAUCCAUCCCAACUGAAUUCUUUGGAGACAUUCUGAAAUCGGGUGUGCGGGCUCCAGAAAACAAGUCCCUCUUGUAGACUUUCCACAGGCGCCACUGUUGGUCAAGCCAUUUUGCGUCCUGGGAAGUCCGUUCCUGAGGAACUCUUGGAGAUCAUAAGCCUGACCUGGCACUUCUUUCUGGUUGAAAAGCAGUCUUGGAGAGCCUGAAACCCGCAGGGGCCAUCACUGCACGCAGAUCCAGGACCGCUGUUGGCAGAGGCUCGACACACCCUCACAUCCCCAGCAUCUGGCCAGGCGUGCCACACCUCUGCUCUCCUGCCAGCCACUCAGACACAGAGAGAGACAGAGACACAGGAGGAGGGAGAAGUAGGC